This 485-nucleotide ribosomal RNA is filed under the name Streptococcus sanguinis. RNAcentral describes it as "bacterial SSU rRNA". It matches the Rfam family "Bacterial small subunit ribosomal RNA", at positions 28 to 495 of the family's 1533-position model. The record is from RNAcentral. Lineage: Bacteria; Bacillati; Bacillota; Bacilli; Lactobacillales; Streptococcaceae.
GACGAACGCUGGCGGCGUGCCUAAUACAUGCAAGUAGAACGCUGAAGAGAGGAGCUUGCUCUUCUUGGAUGAGUUGCGAACGGGUGAGUAACGCGUAGGUAACCUGCCUGGUAGCGGGGGAUAACUAUUGGAAACGAUAGCUAAUACCGCAUGAUAUUAAUUGUCGCAUGAUAAUUAAUUGAAAGAUGCAAUUGCAUCACUACCAGAUGGACCUGCGUUGUAUUAGCUAGUUGGUGAGGUAACGGCUCACCAAGGCGACGAUACAUAGCCGACCUGAGAGGGUGAUCGGCCACACUGGGACUGAGACACGGCCCAGACUCCUACGGGAGGCAGCAGUAGGGAAUCUUCGGCAAUGGGGGGAACCCUGACCGAGCAACGCCGCGUGAGUGAAGAAGGUUUUCGGAUCGUAAAGCUCUGUUGUAAGAGAAGAACGGGUGUGAGAGUGGAAAGUUCACACUGUGACGGUAUCUUACCAGAAAGGACGG